CCCAAGUAGGAUUCGAACCUACG
This 23-nucleotide small nuclear RNA is filed under the name Arabidopsis thaliana (thale cress). Its description in RNAcentral is "snRNA_02309". The record is from RNAcentral. Lineage: Eukaryota; Viridiplantae; Streptophyta; Magnoliopsida; Brassicales; Brassicaceae.